UCCUGUAUGGCGCAGUGGUAGCGCGUCCCACUUGUAUGCGUAUAUGGGGAGGUCCGUUGUUCAACCCAGCGUGCAGGAA
Molecule: non-coding RNA, 79 nt
Organism: Tulasnella sp. 332
Lineage: Eukaryota; Fungi; Basidiomycota; Agaricomycetes; Cantharellales; Tulasnellaceae
Source: the annotation of a GenBank genome assembly